This 260-nucleotide ribosomal RNA is filed under the name Arthrobacter sp. ISO153_OTU247. RNAcentral's name for it is "partial 16S ribosomal RNA". It matches the Rfam family "Bacterial small subunit ribosomal RNA", at positions 29 to 289 of the family's 1533-position model. Lineage: Bacteria; Bacillati; Actinomycetota; Actinomycetes; Micrococcales; Micrococcaceae. The record is from RNAcentral.
AUGAACGCUGGCGGCGUGCUUAACACAUGCAAGUCGAACGAUGAUGCCAGCUUGCUGGUGGAUUAGUGGCGAACGGGUGAGUAACACGUGAGUAACCUGCCCUUAACUCUGGGAUAAGCCUGGGAAACUGGGUCUAAUACCGGAUAUGACUCCUCAUCGCAUGGUGGGGGGUGGAAAGCUUUUUUGUGGUUUUGGAUGGACUCGCGGCCUAUCAGCUUGUUGGUGAGGUAAUGGCUCACCAAGGCGACGACGGGUAGCCG